RNAcentral lists this ribosomal RNA (1269 nucleotides) under Acanthamoeba sp. Nl24. RNAcentral's name for it is "SSU rRNA". It matches the Rfam family "Eukaryotic small subunit ribosomal RNA", at positions 531 to 1790 of the family's 1831-position model. The record is from RNAcentral. Lineage: Eukaryota; Discosea; Longamoebia; Acanthamoebidae.
CCCUUAACGAGUAACAAUUGGAGGGCAAGUCUGGUGCCAGCAGCCGCGGUAAUUCCAGCUCCAAUAGCGUAUAUUAAAGUUGUUGCAGUUAAAAAGCUCGUAGUUGGAUCUAGGGACGCGCAUUCACAAGCGUCGCGCGUCGUCGGGUCAAACCGGCGGCGCGUCGGCGUUGCGGGCUCGGUCCGCUGGAGGACCAGCGUGUCAACCGGCCCGCCCGUCCCCUCCUUCUGGAUUCCCGUUCCUGCCAUUGAGUUGGUGGGGACGUCACAGGGGGCCGCGCGUCGGCGGUCGUCAAAAGCCACCGGCGUGCGGUCCCUGGGGCCCAGAUCGUUUACCGUGAAAAAAUUAGAGUGUUCAAAGCAGGCAGACAUCAACCAUCUGCCACCGAAUACAUUAGCAUGGGAUAAUGGAAUAGGACCCUGUCCUCCUAUUUUCAGUUGGUUUUCGAGGACCAGGGUAAUGAUUAAUAGGGAUAGUUGGGGGCAUUAAUAUUUAAUUGUCAGAGGUGAAAUUCUUGGAUUUAUGAAAGAUUAACUUCUGCGAAAGCAUCUGCCAAGGAUGUUUUCAUUAAUCAAGAACGAAAGUUAGGGGAUCGAAGACGAUCAGAUACCGUCGUAGUCUUAACCAUAAACGAUGCCGACCAGCGAUUAGGAGACGUUGAAUACAAAACACCACCAUCGGGCGGGUCGUCCCUGGCCGGUGUCGUCCGUGCGCGGCAACGCGGCGGGCGGCCGGUGGGGGCGGUCCGUUUCCCCGAUGGCCCGGUGAAUGACUCCCCUAGCAGCUUGUGAGAAAUCAUAAGUCUUUGGGUUCCGGGGGGAGUAUGGUCGCAAGGCUGCUGUGAUGCCCUUAGAUGUUCUGGGCCGCACGCGCGCUACACUGAUUAAUCCAACGAGUCCGCUUCAAUCGAGGCGUGGCGCGGCGGGGCGGGUCAAACCGUUCCGUCGUCGUCGCUGUCCUCGAUCGCGCCUGGGCCGAUAGGUCCGGGUAAUCUUUGCAAAUUUAAUCGUGCUGGGGAUAGAUCAUUGUAAUUAUUGAUCUUCAACGAGGAAUUCCUAGUAAGCGCGAGUCAUCAGCUCGCGUUGAUUACGUCCCUGCCCUUUGUACACACCGCCCGUCGCUCCUACCGAUUGAAUGGUCCGGUGAAAUCCUCAGAGCCAUGGCCUCUACGCAAUCCGGGCAACCGGGUUGUGAGGUCUCACGCGUUGUAAAAGGCGCGUGUCCUGUGGCGAAGUCGAUUGAACCUUACCAUUUAGAGGAAGAGAAGUC